GAUGAACGCUGGCGGCGCGCUUAACACAUGCAAGUCGAACGGUGAAGCAGGAGCUUGCUCUUGUGGAUCAGUGGCGAACGGGUGAGUAACACGUGAGCAACCUGCCCCUGACUCUGGGAUAAGCGCUGGAAACGGCGUCUAAUACUGGAUAUGUGAUGUGACCGCAUGGUCUGCAUCUGGAAAGAAUUUCGGUUGGGGAUGGGCUCGCGGCCUAUCAGCUCGUUGGUGAGGUAAUGGCUCACCAAGGCGUCGACGGGUAGCCGGCCUGAGAGGGUGACCGGCCACACUGGAACUGAGACACGGCCCAGACUCCUACGGGAGGCAGCAGUGGGGAAUAUUGCACAAUGGGCGGAAGCCUGAUGCAGCAACGCCGCGUGAGGGAUGACGGCCUUCGGGUUGUAAACCUCUUUUAGCAGGGAAGAAGCGAAAGUGACGGUACCUGCAGAAAAAGCACCGGCUAACUACGUGCCAGCAGCCGCGGUAA
RNAcentral lists this ribosomal RNA (484 nucleotides) under uncultured bacterium. RNAcentral describes it as "partial 16S ribosomal RNA". It matches the Rfam family "Bacterial small subunit ribosomal RNA", at positions 28 to 523 of the family's 1533-position model. The record is from RNAcentral.